Non-coding RNA from Peromyscus maniculatus bairdii (prairie deer mouse), 176 nucleotides. The record is from RefSeq and is a predicted model, not a curated record. Lineage: Eukaryota; Metazoa; Chordata; Mammalia; Rodentia; Cricetidae.
CUUAAGACCCAAGAUCUGGAUGUGCCGGCUCUCUUGGUUCCUGGUGAUCCUGGAUGCUGGAUGGCAGAUGAGCAGAGUUCUCCAGAGAACACUGCUGGACUGCACUUCACCUCUCCCCGAUCCUGUAACCAAUUCCUUUACUUCCUCACCUUUUAUCUCCUCCAAAGUUUAAUAAA